This 762-nucleotide ribosomal RNA is filed under the name uncultured bacterium. RNAcentral's name for it is "bacterial SSU rRNA". It matches the Rfam family "Bacterial small subunit ribosomal RNA", at positions 28 to 776 of the family's 1533-position model. The record is from RNAcentral.
GAUGAACGCUAGCUACAGGCUUAACACAUGCAAGUCGAGGGGCAGCAUGAAAGGAACUUCGGUUCUUUUUGAUGGCGACCGGCGCACGGGUGCGUAACGCGUAUCGAACCUGCCUCAUACUCGGGGAUAGCCUUGCGAAAGUAAGAUUAAUACCCGAUGGUAUCUUAAGCACGCAUGAGAUUAAGAUUAAAGAUUUAUCGGUAAGCGAUGGGGAUGCGUUCCAUUAGGCAGUUGGCGGGGUAACGGCCCACCAAACCUACGAUGGAUAGGGGUUCUGAGAGGAAGGUCCCCCACAUUGGAACUGAGACACGGUCCAAACUCCUACGGGAGGCAGCAGUGAGGAAUAUUGGUCAAUGGGCGAGAGCCUGAACCAGCCAAGUAGCGUGAAGGAUGACGGCCCUACGGGUUGUAAACUUCUUUUGUGCGGGAAUAAAGGAGCCUACGUGUAGGCUUUUGCAUGUACCGUAACGAAUAAGCAUCGGCUAACUCCGUGCCAGCAGCCGCGGUAAUACGGAGGAUGCGAGCGUUAUCCGGAUUUAUUGGGUUUAAAGGGAGCGUAGACGGGUUUUUAAGUCAGCUGUGAAAGUUUGGGGCUCAACCUUAAAAUUGCAGUUGAAACUGGAGACCUUGAGUACGGUUGAGGCAGGCGGAAUUCGUGGUGUAGCGGUGAAAUGCUUAGAUAUCACGAAGAACCCCGAUUGCGAAGGCAGCCUGCUAAGCCGCCACUGACGUUGAGGCUCGAAAGUGCGGGUAUCAAACAGG